GAUGAACGCUGGCGGCGUGCUUAACACAUGCAAGUCGAACGAGAAGGGGAGACGGAAACCUUCCGGCGGAAGACUUUACUUCGAGUGGCGUACGGGCGAGUAACGCGUGGGUAACCUGCCUCAUACAGGGGGAUAACAGUUGGAAACGACUGUUAAUACCGCAUAAGACCACAGCACCGCAUGGUGCGGGGGUAAAAACUCCGGUGGUAUGAGAUGGACCCGCGUUCGAUUAGCCAGUUGGCGGGGUAACGGCCCACCAAAGCGACGAUCGAUAGCCGAUCUGAGAGGAUGGCCGGCCACAUUGGGACUGAGACACGGCCCCAACUCCUACGGGCGGCAGCAGUGGGGAAUAUUGCACACUGGGGGAGAACCUGAUGCAGCGACGCCGCGUGAGUGAAGAAGUAUUUCGGUAUGUAAAGCCCUAUCAGCAGGGAAGAACAUGCCAGUACCUGAGUAAGAAGCCCCGGCUCACUACGUG
This 478-nucleotide ribosomal RNA is filed under the name uncultured bacterium. RNAcentral's name for it is "partial 16S ribosomal RNA". It matches the Rfam family "Bacterial small subunit ribosomal RNA", at positions 28 to 507 of the family's 1533-position model. The record is from RNAcentral.